RNAcentral lists this ribosomal RNA (465 nucleotides) under uncultured beta proteobacterium. RNAcentral's name for it is "bacterial SSU rRNA". It matches the Rfam family "Bacterial small subunit ribosomal RNA", at positions 338 to 795 of the family's 1533-position model. Lineage: Bacteria; Pseudomonadati; Pseudomonadota; Betaproteobacteria. The record is from RNAcentral.
CCUACGGGUGGCAGCAGUGGGGAAUUUUGGACAAUGGGCGAAAGCCUGAUCCAGCCAUUCCGCGUGCAGGACGAAGGCCUUCGGGUUGUAAACUGCUUUUGUACGGAACGAAAAAGUUUCAGCUAAUACCUGGGACCCAUGACGGUACCGUAAGAAUAAGCACCGGCUAACUACGUGCCAGCAGCCGCGGUAAUACGUAGGGUGCGAGCGUUAAUCGGAAUUACUGGGCGUAAAGCGUGCGCAGGCGGUCUUGUAAGACAGAUGUGAAAUCCCCGGGCUCAACCUGGGAACUGCAUUUGUGACUGCAAGGCUAGAGUGCGGCAGAGGGGGAUGGAAUUCCGCGUGUAGCAGUGAAAUGCGUAGAUAUGCGGAGGAACACCGAUGGCGAAGGCAAUCCCCUGGGCCUGCACUGACGCUCAUGCACGAAAGCGUGGGGAGCAAACAGGAUUAGAUACCCCUGUAGUC